This 519-nucleotide ribosomal RNA is filed under the name Escherichia coli. Its description in RNAcentral is "bacterial SSU rRNA". It matches the Rfam family "Bacterial small subunit ribosomal RNA", at positions 12 to 520 of the family's 1533-position model. The record is from RNAcentral. Lineage: Bacteria; Pseudomonadati; Pseudomonadota; Gammaproteobacteria; Enterobacterales; Enterobacteriaceae.
UUUGAUCCUNGNUCAGAUUGAACGCUGGCGGCAGGCCUAACACAUGCAAGUCGAACGGUAACAGGAAGCAGCUUGCUNNUUNGCUGACGAGUGGCGGACGGGUGAGUAAUGUCUGGGAAACUGCCUGAUGGAGGGGGAUAACUACUGGAAACGGUAGCUAAUACCGCAUAACGUCGCAAGACCAAAGAGGGGGACCUUCGGGCCUCUUGCCAUCGGAUGUGCCCAGAUGGGAUUAGCUNGUNGGUGGGGUAACGGCUCACCNAGGCGACGAUCCCUAGCUGGUCUGAGAGGAUGACCAGCCACACUGGAACUGAGACACGGUCCAGACUCCUACGGGAGGCAGCAGUGGGGAAUAUUGCACAAUGGGCGCAAGCCUGAUGCAGCCAUGCCGCGUGUAUGAAGAAGGCCUUCGGGUUGUAAAGUACUUUCAGCGGGGAGGAAGGGAGUAAAGUUAAUACCUUUGCUCAUUGACGUUACCCGCAGAAGAAGCACCGGCUAACUCCGUGCCAGCAGCCGCGG